GGAGAUGUCGUUGAAUGGUAAAGCACUUGCCUAAUGUGUGUAAGACCCUGGUUCAAUCCCUGGUAUCACCA
Molecule: transfer RNA, 71 nt
Filed under: Heterocephalus glaber (naked mole-rat)
Lineage: Eukaryota; Metazoa; Chordata; Mammalia; Rodentia; Bathyergidae
Rfam family: tRNA
About the family: Transfer RNA (tRNA) molecules are approximately 80 nucleotides in length. Their secondary structure includes four short double-helical elements and three loops (D, anti-codon, and T loops). Further hydrogen bonds mediate the characteristic L-shaped molecular structure. tRNAs have two regions of fundamental functional importance: the anti-codon, which is responsible for specific mRNA codon recognition, and the 3' end, to which the tRNAs corresponding amino acid is attached (by aminoacyl-tRNA synthetases). tRNAs cope with the degeneracy of the genetic code in two manners: having more than one tRNA (with a specific anti-codon) for a particular amino acid; and 'wobble' base-pairing, i.e. permitting non-standard base-pairing at the 3rd anti-codon position.
Source: Rfam by way of RNAcentral